RNAcentral lists this ribosomal RNA (252 nucleotides) under uncultured bacterium. RNAcentral's name for it is "partial 16S ribosomal RNA". It matches the Rfam family "Bacterial small subunit ribosomal RNA", at positions 524 to 776 of the family's 1533-position model. The record is from RNAcentral.
UACGUAGGUGGCAAGCGUUAUCCGGAUUUACUGGGUGUAAAGGGUGCGCAGGCGGCACGGCAAGCCGGCGGUCAAAUCGCGGGGCUCAACCCCGCCCAGCCGUCGGAACUGCCGGGCUAGAGUGGGCGAGAAGUGCGCGGAAUGCGUGGUGUAGCGGUGAAAUGCAUAGAUAUCACGCAGAACUCCGAUUGCGAAGGCAGCGCACCGGCGCCCUACUGACGCUCAGGCACGAAAGCGUGAGUAUCGAACAGG